This 261-nucleotide ribosomal RNA is filed under the name uncultured archaeon. RNAcentral describes it as "partial 16S ribosomal RNA". It matches the Rfam family "Archaeal small subunit ribosomal RNA", at positions 748 to 1008 of the family's 1478-position model. The record is from RNAcentral.
CAGCCGUAAACUAUGCGCGUUAGGUGUAUCGGUGACCACGAGUUACCGAGGUGCCGAAGGGAAACCGUGAAACGUGCCGCCUGGGAAGUACGGUCGCAAGGCUGAAACCUAAAGGAAUUGGCGGGGGAGCACCACAACAGGUGGAGCCUGCGGUUUAAUUGGACUCAACGCCGGGAAGCUCACCGGAUAGGACAGCAGAAUGAUUGCCGGGCUGAAGACCCUGCAUGACUAGCUGAGAGGUGGUGCAUGGCGUCAGUGACU